Molecule: unclassified non-coding RNA, 216 nt
Filed under: Hevea brasiliensis (rubber tree)
Lineage: Eukaryota; Viridiplantae; Streptophyta; Magnoliopsida; Malpighiales; Euphorbiaceae
Source: RNAcentral
AAAAAACUCAACUAAUCACUUUGAUCAACCAUGAUUGCUAAAGGUAGUUUCACAACCAAAAAUCAGGAUAUCAACCACCUGUAUCAGUCCACUGCAAUACAUAGUAUAUUGUACCCUGAUUUAUCUCAAGAAGCAGCUAAACCUGGAGGCUGAUCAUUUUGAAGAACAUUUAUAUCUUCAGAAAGUAAAGAGAUGAAUGAAAGAGAAGAAGAAUAA